This 230-nucleotide long non-coding RNA is filed under the name Amborella trichopoda. RNAcentral's name for it is "long non-coding RNA (ATRI_LNC000721)". The record is from RNAcentral. Lineage: Eukaryota; Viridiplantae; Streptophyta; Magnoliopsida; Amborellales; Amborellaceae.
CUAAACGGUACCCUAUUUUUUCGAAAAACCCUUCUAUGCUCUCUCUGUCUCUCUCUCAAUCACCAUUCGCUCUGUGAGAAGGAGCCUCAAUCUUUCUCGCUUUCUCUAUCAAUCACCAAGUGUAAGUGUUAUGUGAAUUUGUUGCUUUUUUCUGUUUUGCAGGCUACAUCUUUUUCUUUGCUCUUCCUCUGCUUCAAUGAAAGCAAGAGAGGCAUCACCCUCUUCGUGAG